Molecule: ribosomal RNA, 249 nt
Filed under: uncultured bacterium
Lineage: Bacteria
Description: partial 16S ribosomal RNA
Rfam family: Bacterial small subunit ribosomal RNA
Source: RNAcentral
AGUAACACGUGAGCAACCUGCCUUUCAGAGGGGGAGUAACAGUUGGAAACGACUGCUAAUACCGCAUGACAUUAGGGGAGGGGCAUCCUCUUCUAAUCAAAGGAGCAAUCCGCUGAAAGAUGGGCUCGCGGCCGAUUAGCUGGAUGGCGGGGUAGAGGCCCACCAUGGCGACGAUCGGUAGCCGGACUGAGAGGUUGAACGGCCACAUUGGGACUGAGACACGGCCCAGACUCCUACGGAAGGCAGCAG